UACGUAGGGUGCGAGCGUUGUCCGGAAUUAUUGGGCGUAAAGAGCUUGUAGGCGGUUUGUCGCGUCUGCUGUGAAAAUCCGGGGCUCAACCCCGCGCUUGCAUUCGAUACGGGCAGGCUCGAGUUCGGUAGGGGAGACUGGAAUUCCUGGUGUAGCGGUGAAAUGCGCAGAUAUCAGGAGGAACACCGGUGGCGAAGGCGGGUCUCUGGGCCGAUACUGACGCUGAGGAGCGAAAGCGUGGGGAGCGAACAGG
Molecule: ribosomal RNA, 253 nt
Filed under: uncultured bacterium
Lineage: Bacteria
Description: partial 16S ribosomal RNA
Rfam family: Bacterial small subunit ribosomal RNA
Source: RNAcentral